AAAGAAUUCCAUAAAUUUUAGAAAAUUUCCUUCUCUGAAAACUCAUGACAUGGAAAAGCCACAAAAUCAAAUUAUUGUUUUAUUUUUCAGUGAAUAAAAUUGAGAGGUUAAAACUGAAGCAAGGUAGGCAUAUGAAUAGAAUGUGGCCGCUGGAGAAGGGCUUUGUCCAACCAGGAGCAGUGGAGAAGUCUGGUAAAACUCAAGGACAUUGCCCAAGAGGACAAAGAAGGGUGAAGCAGAGCUCUAAGAAGAAAUGCAAAGGUCUAUCCGUGGCACAUUCUGACACACCACAGGCACAUCGGGAUGACUAGGAGACUACACUAUACCAAAGCAGUUUCAGAAUCAAGAAAAGAAACAAAUCAUUUUCACAAGGAAUUGGCAGAAACUGCAUUUGAAGUACAGUAACUAAGUAUUGUGAAUGAAUGGUGCUAAUAGCUAUUAUUAACAUAAGCUCGGUUCCAGCUUUCUGUAAAUUUCCAUUGCCGUGAUUUUUUAAAAUAUUUAAUAUAUAGGGAGAGUAAGAUUUAAAAAUUCUAGAUUAAAUCUCUGGACUGGUUUAAAAUAACUUUAGUUAUGAAGAGCUGUUCUCAUAAUUUCUAGAAUUCAAUUUACUUUCCCCAGUUUAAUGUAUUUCUUAAGAGAAGAAUUUUCCAGGUUUGAAUAGGUAUGCUUUAAAACAAAUAAUUGUUUAUGCCGGGGCUGGGGAUUUAGCUCAGCGGCAAAAGCGCCUGCCCGGCAAGCGCAAGGUCGUGAGUUCGGUUCCCGGUACCGGAGAAAAACCAAAAAAAAAAAAAAAAAAAAAAAAUUGUUUAUGCCUUUCCCUUUCUAUGUUUAAAUUUGAGAAAAUAUGAUGAUGCUUAAUUCACUGUCUUUUUUAUACAGUGUGUUUCUCUUUUGUAAUAUCUGCAUUUACUUUGCCAUUUUUAAUGGCAUUCCAGAAUAACAUCUGUCAUUCCAGAAUAACAUCCGACCCAUUCCUGCCCCACUUCCUGCCACUCAUUCCCAUUUCCAUCUCACUAAUAAAACAUGCCAUCAGUGAGACCAAAAUUAUCGAAAUCUAAAAUGCACUCCAAUUCAUAACAGGUGAGCUGAAUUCUUUUCACAAAUUUUCUUCAACUGAAAAGUAUAGGUAGGCAAUAUGACAUAGUAAAAGUCAGUAACUCCUGAAAUUCAAAUGAUGGGCUACUCAGGAAGACGUGUGUGUUUUGGGUACUCUUCACCACAAACCAACUGCUAUAUUUUGGACCUGGACUGUCCCUAGAAGGCUCAUGUUUUAAAGGGGUGGUCCUAAACGUGGCACUAUUAGAAGGUGACGGAAAUCAGUAAGAGCUAGAGCCUAGCAGAGUGUCCUGGAGUCCUGGAGUUGCACCCUCAACAAGGACUCUGGGGCGCUGGUCUCUUAGUUUCUCUGUUUUGACUUCUGAGCGGCCAGGAGUUGAGCGAGAUGCUCAUCUUCAGGCUCCUCGGCGUGGCAUUCUCAGCACAGCCCCAGAAGCAAGAGGGCCUGCCGACCACGGCCACAGCCUCUGGAGCCACAAACCAAAACAGAGCUUUCCUCUUUUUCAACUGGUUUAUCUCAGGUGUUUGUGACAGUGGUGAAAAAUCAACUAACAGAAGAUAAUGCUUCUCAGUCAGGGUCCACACAGGGGCUCAUGGGUAUUUUUUUAUUUAGAAAGAGAAUUCAAUCUUUGGAACACUGGAGGACUGGACUUACAAAAACCUAUUAUUUUUAGUAUCUUCAGCAAGAAUUUUUUUUUGUUUUUUUGAGACUCUCACUACGUAGUUCAGGCUGGCCUUGAGCUCACUUUGCAGCCCAGGCUACUCUCAAAUUCGCAACAAUCCUCCUGCCUCAGCCUCCCAAGUGCUGGGAUUACAGGCGUGCACCACCACACCCAGUUUCUCCAGCAAGAACAUUAUUUAUUCAAUUAAGGGGCACAUAUCCUUACCUUAGUCUCAUGUGGUAUAUUACAUGUGCAGAUUUCAAUAUGGAUCAUUAUAAACAUAAAUUAGUAGAUGCUAAUGCCUUUAAUUCUAGCACUUUGGGAGGGAGAGGCACAUGGAUCCCAAGUUUUAGUACUACCUGAAUAAUUUAAUGAGACCUGUCUCAAGAAAUGAAUGAAUAAAUUUAUAUAGCAGUAGAGAUAUAGCUCAGUGCAAAGUCCCUGAAUUCAAUCUCUCAUACUGAAAAAAAGGAUACGUUCAUUAGAAAGAACAGGGAA
This 2219-nucleotide long non-coding RNA is filed under the name Chinchilla lanigera (long-tailed chinchilla). RNAcentral's name for it is "lncRNA (ENSCLAG00000025443.1)". Lineage: Eukaryota; Metazoa; Chordata; Mammalia; Rodentia; Chinchillidae. The record is from RNAcentral.